Molecule: ribosomal RNA, 468 nt
Filed under: uncultured bacterium
Lineage: Bacteria
Description: partial 16S ribosomal RNA
Rfam family: Bacterial small subunit ribosomal RNA
Source: RNAcentral
GACGAACGCUGGCGGCGUGCUUAACACAUGCAAGUCGAACGGAAAGGCCCUGCUUUUGUGGGGUGCUCGAGUGGCGAACGGGUGAGUAACACGUGAGUAACCUGCCCUUGACUUUGGGAUAACCUCAGGAAACUGGGGCUAAUACCGGAUAGGAGCUCUUGCUGCAUGGUGGGGGUUGGAAAGUUUCGGCGGUUGGGGAUGGAAUCGCGGAUUAUCAGCUUGUUGGUGGGGUAGUGGCUUACCAAGGCUUUGACGGGUAGCCGGCCUGAGAGGGUGACCGGCCAAGUUGGGACUGAGAUACGGCCCGGACUCCUACGGGAGGGAACAGUGGGGAAUAGUGCACUAUAGGCGGAAGCCUGAUGCAGCAACGCCGCGUGGGGGAUGACGGCCUGCGGGUUGGAAACCGCUUUCGCCUGUGACGAAGCGUGAGUGACGGUAAUGGGUAAAGAAGCACUGGCUAACUACGUG